Molecule: long non-coding RNA, 1328 nt
Filed under: Homo sapiens (human)
Lineage: Eukaryota; Metazoa; Chordata; Mammalia; Primates; Hominidae
Description: HSALNT0201058
Source: RNAcentral
UGUAUCCUACUGAAGAGAUAAGUGUUUAAGAGACUCAAGCUCAUGCAAUCAGGUGUGCUGAGGUAACAGGCAACUAAAAGAAGCAGAAAAAACCAGUUUACAAAAAAACCAAAGCACAGCUUCAAAUAAGACACAGCUCUGCCCUGGGAACUCUUGUGGCACAGCCACCUCGUUCAAUAUGGCAGGCACUGUCCCCAAAACAAAAGACAUCAGCAGAGGAGACACAGUCUGUUUCAGGGCAGUACCAAAUAUAUAAAAAAACAAGGUUUUGGGGAAGAUACAUGCUAUGAACCAAGCACAUGGCAGGUAUCCAGAAUCCUCAGUUCUAUAUAGAUUUAUCAGACCAUUAUCCACGGGCUUCCUGACACAGAGCUUCCAGUCAUCAGGAACUAGAAGGUGAUGGGCAUACCACAUUUGGUGCCUGUACAUAAGAAAAUCUGAGGUGGAGUGGGGAAUGGGAACACUUUCUUUACUCAGAAUUUUAUUUUUCAGUGUGUACACAGAAUAAAAAUCUUCUUAGUGCUAUAACAAUCUCAGAAUUCUAAUGCUUUGCUGCUAAAAGCAAAUAAUAUAAAAAUUGUUUUUCUCAAUGGAUAGAUAUCUUCUUGCUUUAAUUAUAUAAUAUUUUCUUCAAUUUUUGGCAUUGCUCCUUCCUUAUUUUUAUUAUUUUUUCUCUUUUUUUCCUGCAAACACUAUGGCAACUUGGGCAUUUGCUACUUCUUGAUUGCAGCAUCUAGAAGCAGAUGACAAAAUGAACGAGUGAAAAAACAACUUUUCCCUGUGCUUAGUUCACUUAAGCUUCUUUGUUUUGUUUGAUGGUCUUGACAGUAUGAUUUUGGAUCGCUUAAUAUAUAAUAUUGUGUUGUGCUAGAAAAAACUAACAUAUACAUGUAUUGUUUUCAUUUAAAAAUUAAUUAAAGAGAAAGAGAAAAGCAACAUUUUAAUGCCCCAGGAAUUGAAACUAACGUUUUCUGUCUCGGCUGGACCCCUACGCCCAUCUUUUGAUUUGCUGAUAUCAUUUGCCAUGUGAUGGUCAAUACAUGUCUGCUGGGUAAGCAGUAAAAUUCUGGGGGCAAGCCAGUUUUGAGAAGCUUAUAAUCUGACUGGGGGAGACAUAUCUUCAAAUUUUGGAAAGAUAUUUAAUUUCUAAUUAUCUUAAAAGCAAAUAAAAGAAACAUCAACUGACCAUGAUCCUGCACAUUUCUCAUCUCAGCAUCACUACGGUAAAAUAAGCCAAUGAUGAACACUGCCAUUUCACUACAAACUCUCUCCUUUUAUUAACGUUGAGUAUGAACACGAAACGUGAUCACCUGUUUAAAAGAAAAACA